AGAGUGAACGCUGGCGGUAGGCCCAACACAUGCAAGUCGAACGGCAGCACAGUGGUAGCAAUACCAUGGGUGGCGAGUGGCGGACGGGUGAGGAAUACAUCGGAAUCUACCUUUUCGUGGGGGAUAACGUAGGGAAACUUACGCUAAUACCGCAUACGCCCUUCGGGGGAAAGCCGGGGAUCGCAAGACCUGGCGCGGAUAGAUGAGCCGAUGUCGGAUUAGCUAGUUGGUGAGGUAAUGGCUCACCAAGGCGACGAUCCGUAGCUGGUCUGAGAGGAUGAUCAGCCACACUGGAACUGAACGACACGGUCCAGACUCCGACGGGAGCAGCUAGGUAGGGAAUGUAGGACAAGUGGGACACAAGCCU
Molecule: ribosomal RNA, 367 nt
Filed under: uncultured soil bacterium
Lineage: Bacteria
Description: bacterial SSU rRNA
Rfam family: Bacterial small subunit ribosomal RNA
Source: RNAcentral